GGUGUGACAUAACAGCAGGACUAUGAUGGACACAGAUGACCAGUGGACACGGGCUUUGGCCAGCAACAACGUUAGGGCCAUCCUCCGCUGGCUACACAGCCUCUUAGCUGAAGUGGGAGAUGCUGAUGUGGAGGACAGCCUCCCUUCUUUUAGCAGCUGGGUCCAGAGGACGGCUGAACUUUCAAAGGAGUUACUCACCCAAAGUUUGGGGAUUCCAUGUGUCUGCAGGGUCGACUGUGGCUCCUCAGCAGUAAGGCAGGACUGCUGGAAUCGGGAACGCAGAGCUCUGAAGCAACACAUCUGGCUGGGUCGGCUGGUACAGUGGUGGGGCAUCACCGGACUCCUGCCCAAGUACCCUGAUGCUCAAGAAAUAAAGCAGAUCUCUCAGAUAUGGAGAGAGAUGGAUCAGAACCACCGCAGGGCUUGUCUCCACACUUCUGGUCUGGAGGAGAAGGGAAGUGAAUGGUGGAAUUCACUGAUCCAGAGUAUGGUGGCUCAGAUGGACUAACAACACUGGCCCAUAUGGACUUCUGAGGACCGCACCGACCAGGGUUACCCACCCCCUAAACUGCAGGCUUUGCUGAAGCUGGUGCUGGUGUCUCGCAUUGACAACAUAUCUGUUCAGGCCAUUGUAUCCAACCAUGGAGAAUCCAUAAAGUGUUCUCAAAGGUAUGACCGUGACUGUCAUGUGAACUGAAGUGAAUAUACAGUAUUCUUGAUCAUGUAAACUACACUUA
Molecule: long non-coding RNA, 737 nt
Filed under: Salmo trutta (river trout)
Lineage: Eukaryota; Metazoa; Chordata; Actinopteri; Salmoniformes; Salmonidae
Description: lncRNA (ENSSTUG00000005397.1)
Source: RNAcentral